CAGCCGCCACGGUAAAACGGAGGGUGCAAGCGUUAAUCGGAAUUACUGGGCGUAAAGCGCACGCAGGCGGUUUGUUAAGUCAGAUGCGAAAUCCCCGAGCUUAACUUGGGAACUGCAUUUGAAACUGGCAAGCUAGAGUCUUGUAGAGGGGGGUAGAAUUCCAGGUGUAGCGGUGAAAUGCGUAGAGAUCUGGAGGAAUACCGGUGGCGAUGGCGGCCCCCUGGACAAAGACUGACGCUCAGGUGCGAAAGCGUGGGGAGCAAACAGGAUUAGAUACCCCAGUAGUCCCUUGUCUCUUAUU
This 301-nucleotide ribosomal RNA is filed under the name uncultured bacterium. Its description in RNAcentral is "partial 16S ribosomal RNA". It matches the Rfam family "Bacterial small subunit ribosomal RNA", at positions 509 to 808 of the family's 1533-position model. The record is from RNAcentral.